Clarias gariepinus (North African catfish) is the source of this 634-nucleotide long non-coding RNA. RefSeq lists it as uncharacterized. The record is from RefSeq and is a predicted model, not a curated record. Lineage: Eukaryota; Metazoa; Chordata; Actinopteri; Siluriformes; Clariidae. The transcript is spliced from 3 exons.
CAGAGUGACUUUGCAGUCUAGCGAGUGGUACUGAGCAUGCGCAGUGAUCAGCCUUUCCUGGAUCCCGUUUUUUUUAAGUGGAAGCGCGAAACAUUUAUAGCUUAUAAAAAGAAAUUAGAAACUUCGAAAUUUGUUUAAAUUUGUGGUCUGUUGAAGUUACAAAGUACCCGUGGCAAUUGUCUUUCAUUCAGAGAACAAUUGUGUGGGUUGUUACAGGGUGAGCACUGAGAUUCCUUACCAAUUCACUUAUGUUUCAACUAAACAUGAAGGGAUCACGAGGGGAUAAAACAUCAUUUGACAGCGCUGUGCAAAUUAAUAACUGACAGUGUAGUAAAGGCGCAUGAUGUUACAGAAGCCUUUGCCCUCAGCACCAUUGCCAAUAAUCCUUGCACCUAAGAGGAAAGAAAGGCUGGAUGCAGUGUCAUUUAUUAAGUGUUAAGUAAAUGUUUUUGUAAUUUUGUUUCUUUUGCUGUUUGAGACAGUUUUCUAUCUUCUCUUAGAUGUUUUGUUGGUUUAAUUAGUCAUUUAAGUAUUCACAUUUUUAUGGUAUUUUAGUAUUAUGCACUACACCCAGUUUUUAUGUGCAUUUUGUAUUGUUUGUUUUGAAAUAUGAAUAAAUUAUUGGUUAUUACAA